GUGUAGCAGUAGACACUCAAUGAAGUGCGCAUAGCAGCCGGUAGGGGGAACGCUACAUAAAGGUGGCAGGUCUCCCCGGUGCUCUCUCUCUCUGCGCUCAAUUGCAUGCAUGACUUCCGGUCCGAAGUGUUGUCUCGCGGCGGAGCGCUUGAGCUGCCGUGCCCCGCUAUUAGCGUGCGCUACUCCCGUUGGCCUGCGUUGGUACCGCAUGUAGCUGUAGGCUCCUCCCCCUGUUAUCGUCAGUGUGCCGCCAAUCGAGUCAACAGAUGAGGGACGGCUACUGAGCAACCUGAACGGCUGAACCCUGCUGCUUUGUCUUAUAUUUCGUCUGCGGUUUCAAUUACAGCGCCGUCCGCUGUUGUGUUUACAGCUUUGUUUGCUGUCCUUGUUUAUAGCGCUGUUUGUUGCCUGUUGCCUACAGCGUUGCAAUAGAUUUGGCGUUGUGUUACCACGGCCGGAAACCGUUACAGCCAUUUUCACUGCCAUAAGUGUGCCGCCUUGGUCAUUGGGUUUGUUUUGCUUUGAAUAUAGUUUGUUUAUUUGCUUUCUUUUCUGUUUUUGGGCAAAGGAUAUUUUGUUUGGAUUGAUUGUUUGCCCCGUUUUGGUUUCGCAUUAGUUUUGUUUCAUUGUGUUUGAUUCUUGUCUGUUUUACUUUGCAGAGGUCUGUGGUGGUGGCGGUGUCCCUUUUCUUCCUGUGUGCUGUGCUUCCCUGGGAUUUGUGUUUGUGUGUGUGAUUAUCACUUACCCGGGUGAUUUAUAUUAUUUGGACCCUUCCCUUCGCUAGUCCCCCCAUUCACAUCAGCCUCCGCCUUAACAGUUUAUUGUGUGUUUAUUCCAUUGGAGUAAUUAAAUGAAAUAUAUAUUGUUAAAACUGUG
Molecule: long non-coding RNA, 876 nt
Organism: Gadus macrocephalus (Pacific cod)
Lineage: Eukaryota; Metazoa; Chordata; Actinopteri; Gadiformes; Gadidae
Exons: 4
Source: RefSeq, a predicted model, not a curated record